UUUAUUAUAAGUAAAAUCUGCCCAAUGAAUAAUAAAUAGCCGCAGAAUAUUAACUGUGCUAAGGUAGCAUAAUCAUUUACCUUUUAAUUAAAGGUUUGUAUGAAUGAUUUUACAAUUAAAUUAUUUUUUUAUAAAUGUUUAUUUAAAUUUUAUUAAAAAUAAAAAUAUUUUUAUAACUAAGAAAGACGACAAGACCCUAUUGAACUUUACUAAUGUUUAGCUGGGGAAGCUAAUUAAAUAUAAUUUUAAUUUUAAAUUAUAAAUAAAAUCCUAAUAUAAAUAUUUUAAACAAGUUACCAUAGGGAUAACAGCGUAAUAUAAUUUUAAAGCUCAUAUUAAAAAUUAAGAUUACGACCUCGAUGUUGAAUUAGAAUACCUAUAAAACGCAAUAGCUCAAAAGGAGGUCUGU
This 409-nucleotide ribosomal RNA is filed under the name Gonatium rubens. RNAcentral describes it as "partial 16S ribosomal RNA". The record is from RNAcentral. Lineage: Eukaryota; Metazoa; Arthropoda; Arachnida; Araneae; Linyphiidae.